GUUUUUUUAUUUCUAUAUUAGAAAAUAAAUAUAUUAAAUUUAUGUUACCAAUUGGGGUAGAUUGAUCCAUAUAUGAAGGGAAGUCAACCAAAGGAGUGAAAAUGUAAUAUGAUAAUUGUGUUGUCUUCCAUCUCAUCAACUAAAGUAUAUUUGUUGAUUAUCCAUUCAUAUUGAUUUGGUACCACUUGAUAUUGAGGUGGGAUUUUUUUGACAUUUGCAUUUGAGAUGUAGUAUUUUUUUUAAGAUGGUUAGCUUUUUCUCAAAUUUUUAAAUGUCAUUAUUGCUAAUUGCCCAAAAUAUUAUUGUGUAUCUCACGGUAUGUACUCGUUUAUGUACAUGAAUGUUGGGAUGAAAUAUAUGUUCCUACGGAUGAGACCUUGGAUGAUUGCAUUCUGCCUAGCUCCUAAUUAUGAACCACAAUCUGGCUACGUAGCUCGUUAAGUUGCAAGCCUCAGCGUCGGGAUCAACACUCACCGUCAUGUCUUGUCAGCUCAGAGUGUCCAGCUCCAACCACGGCUGAAAGCAGAGAAGGAACAUGGAGUAACAUAGAAGUAUGAGGAGGAGCCCAGGCGUAUCUGACCUUAAAAAGAUCACUAUUCAAGGCUAUAACAGUAGCCACUGGUAAAAAUCCGCCCAUUCUUUUCCUCCUUUCUGCUCACGUGUGCAUGUCAAUGCAAAUUUUGACUGUCACUUUAGUUUUCAUGGCUACCAACCUCUCUCUAUUUAUUUUUUCCCGAUGACCAAACAAAAGAAAAGAAAAGAAAAAAAGAUAGCAAUCAAACCCUAGCUAGGAUUCUACCAUAAAGAUAAAAACAACAAAAUAUUCCAUAAGCAUCAAAGAGACUCAGACUUACCUAUCAAUGGUGGAAAAUAUUGGUAUGUAAAGUUACUGGCUUGUAAAUCAGAAUAUAAGUUUUCUGCUUGAUAAAGCCGGAUUGAAUUAGAUAUACACUGUUAGAAUUAGUUAAACCUGUUUGUUAAUUGUCUUUUCUGUUUUAGCUCUCUUUUCCUUCUUGAUUGUAAUACUGCUCAGUGUAUUCUAUUCCUCUGUAAAUAUAAUCCAAGUCUCUAGGUUUUGUAACUUUUUGCAAAGCUAUAACACUCUUUCUCUGAAAUUGGUCUAAGAUAGUGUUGCAAUAGAUAAGUUCGUUUAUGGUAUCAGUGGCAUGGAUCCUCACAUCGAUAAUCCUCCACCACUUGUUUCCCAAACCAGCACCGUGCCGCUCAGACGUCUUCCACGGCAACAACGACUGCUACAACCACCUCUGCUACUGCGACAUGGAAUCCCUUCCAAAAAUUCGCUAAGUUCUUCGCUCACUGUCAAGCUGCUUCGACCGAAUUUCCUUACCUGGAAAUCUCAAGUCCUCUCCACCGUGAUUGUAGACAACACAACUCUCUUCAGCCAAGAGAUGUAUGCAUCUUUGAGCUGAUUAAGAGAAAUCAAUCUGAGAUGAAAGUUUACAUAUUUAAACAAAGUGGUUUGGUUCAAGAGUAGUAACUGUUGUAAUUGUGCAAAUCUUAAGAAUCAUUUUGGAAGAAACGAAUUUGCCACUUA
Long non-coding RNA from Humulus lupulus (European hop), 1555 nucleotides. RefSeq lists it as uncharacterized. The record is from RefSeq and is a predicted model, not a curated record. The transcript has 2 exons. NCBI's taxonomy places the organism in Eukaryota, Viridiplantae, Streptophyta, Magnoliopsida, Rosales, Cannabaceae.